This 147-nucleotide small RNA is filed under the name Staphylococcus haemolyticus. RNAcentral describes it as "Ribosomal protein L10 leader". It matches the Rfam family "Ribosomal protein L10 leader". From Rfam's summary of the family: This family is a putative r-protein leader autoregulatory structure found in B. subtilis and other low-GC Gram-positive bacteria. It is located in the 5' untranslated regions of mRNAs encoding ribosomal proteins L10 and L12 (rplJ-rplL). A Rho-independent transcription terminator structure that is probably involved in regulation is included at the 3' end. Lineage: Bacteria; Bacillati; Bacillota; Bacilli; Caryophanales; Staphylococcaceae. The record is from RNAcentral.
UAUUGUGAUUAUUUUACCUAAGACAGUAGGAGUUAUAGUAUAACUUAAAAAUUAUCCUGCCGAGGCUAAAAUUGACUUGAACGUGUGAUCAUAAAAAUGAUCUUUCAAGCGCUUUUUGCCGUGGGUAGAAAGUGCUUUUUUUAUUGA